Molecule: ribosomal RNA, 492 nt
Filed under: uncultured bacterium
Lineage: Bacteria
Description: partial 16S ribosomal RNA
Rfam family: Bacterial small subunit ribosomal RNA
Source: RNAcentral
AGUGAACGCUGGCGGUAGGCCUAACACAUGCAAGUCGAACGGCAGCACAGUAAGAGCUUGCUCUUACGGGUGGCGAGUGGCGGACGGGUGAGGAAUACAUCGGAAUCUACUUUUUCGUGGGGGAUAACGUAGGGAAACUUACGCUAAUACCGCAUACGACCUACGGGUGAAAGCAGGGGAUCUUCGGACCUUGCGCGAUUGAAUGAGCCGAUGUCGGAUUAGCUAGUUGGCGGGGUAAAGGCCCACCAAGGCGACGAUCCGUAGCUGGUCUGAGAGGAUGAUCAGCCAGACUGGAACUGAGACACGGUCCAGACUCCUACGGGGGGCAGCAGUGGGGAAUAUUGGACAAUGGGGGCAAGCCUGAUCCAGCCAUACCGCGUGGGUGAAGAAGGCCUUCGGGUUGUAAAGCCCUUUUGUUGGGAAAGAAAAGCAGCAGGUUAAUACCCCGCUGUUCUGACGGUACCCAAAGAAUAAGCACCGGCUAACUUCGUG